UGGGGAAUAUUGGACAAUGGGCGCAAGCCUGAUCCAGCAAUGCCGCGUGAGUGAGGAAGGCCUUCGGGUUGUAAAGCUCUUUCGGCGGGGACGAUGAUGACGGUACCCGCAGAAGAAGCCCCGGCUAACUUCGUGCCAGCAGCCGCGGUAAUACGAAGGGGGCGAGCGUUGUUCGGAUUUACUGGGCGUAAAGGGCGCGUAGGCGGCGAUCUUUGUCAGGCGUGAAAGCCCCGGGCUCAACCUGGGAACCGCGCUUGGGACGGGAUUGCUGGAGACCGGGAGAGGAGAGUGGAAUUCCCAGUGUAGAGGUGAAAUUCGUAGAUAUUGGGAAGAACACCGGUGGCGAAGGCGGCUCUCUGGACCGGAUCUGACGCUGAGGCGCGAAAGCGUGGGGAGCAAACAGGAUUAGAUACCCCCGUAGUCC
This 424-nucleotide ribosomal RNA is filed under the name uncultured bacterium. Its description in RNAcentral is "bacterial SSU rRNA". It matches the Rfam family "Bacterial small subunit ribosomal RNA", at positions 355 to 796 of the family's 1533-position model. The record is from RNAcentral.